This 505-nucleotide ribosomal RNA is filed under the name uncultured bacterium. RNAcentral's name for it is "bacterial SSU rRNA". It matches the Rfam family "Bacterial small subunit ribosomal RNA", at positions 28 to 524 of the family's 1533-position model. The record is from RNAcentral.
GAUGAACGCUAGCGACAGGCUUAACACAUGCAAGUCGAGGGGCAGCAUAAAAGUAGCAAUACUUUGGUGGCGACCGGCGCACGGGUGAGUAACGCGUAUGCAACCUACCUAUCAGAGGGGGAUAACCCGGCGAAAGUCGGACUAAUACCGCAUAAAACAGGGGCACCGCAUGGUGAUAUUUGUUAAAAAUUUAUUGCUGAUAGAUGGGCAUGCGUUCCAUUAGGUAGUUGGAGAGGUAACGGCUCACCAAGCCAACGAUGGAUAGGGGAACUGAGAGGUUGGUCCCCCACACUGGUACUGAGACACGGACCAGACUCCUACGGGAGGCAGCAGUGAGGAAUAUUGGUCGAUGGGCGAGAGCCUGAACCAGCCAAGUCGCGUGAAGGAAGAAGGAUCUAUGGUUCGUAAACUUCUUUUGCAGGGGAAUAAAGUGCAGGACGUGUCCUGUUUUGUAUGUACCCUGAGAAUAAGGAUCGGCUAACUCCGUGCCAGCAGCCGCGGUAAA